Molecule: microRNA precursor, 203 nt
Filed under: Oryza punctata
Lineage: Eukaryota; Viridiplantae; Streptophyta; Magnoliopsida; Poales; Poaceae
Description: MIR812 microRNA precursor family
Rfam family: MIR812 microRNA precursor family
Source: Rfam by way of RNAcentral
AAAAAGCGUUUGUACCGGACAUAUCUAACGUCUAACCGUUUAUUUUAUUUGAAAAAUUCUUAUGAUUAGUAUUUUUAUUGUUAUUAGAUGAUAAAACAUGAAUAAUAUUUUAUGUGUGAUUUUUAUAAUUUUUUUAUAAACUUUUUAAAUAAAACGAACGGUGAAUCCAAACAUUGAAUACAGAUAUCACGAUUGCACUUGAA